GAGUUUGAUCAUGGCUCAGGAUGAACGCUAGCGGGAGGCUUAACACAUGCAAGUCGAGGGGCAUCACGAGGUAGCAAUACUUUGGUGGCGACCGGCGCACGGGUGAGUAACACGUAUGCAACCUACCCUGUACAGGGGGAUAACCCGGAGAAAUUCGGACUAAUAUCCCAUGCAAUUAUUGGAGGGCAUCCUUUGAUAAUUAAAGCUCAGGCGGUAUAGGAUGGGCAUGCGGAACAUUAGCUAGUUGGUAGGGUAACGGCCUACCAAGGCUACGAUGUUUAGGGGACCUGAGAGGGUUAUCCCCCACACUGGUACUGAGACACGGACCAGACUCCUACGGGAGGCAGCAGUGAGGAAUAUUGGUCAAUGGGCGCAAGCCUGAACCAGCCAUCCCGCGUGAAGGAAGAAGGCCCUAUGGGUUGUAAACUUCUUUUCCAGGGGGUGAAUAAUUCCGAUGUAUCGGGAGAUGACGGUACCCUGGGAAUAAGCAUCGGCUAACUCCGUGCCAGCAGCCGCGGUAAUACGGAGGAUGCGAGCGUUAUCCGG
RNAcentral lists this ribosomal RNA (546 nucleotides) under uncultured Porphyromonadaceae bacterium. RNAcentral's name for it is "bacterial SSU rRNA". It matches the Rfam family "Bacterial small subunit ribosomal RNA", at positions 9 to 548 of the family's 1533-position model. The record is from RNAcentral. Lineage: Bacteria; Pseudomonadati; Bacteroidota; Bacteroidia; Bacteroidales; Porphyromonadaceae.